CCUACGGGGGGCUGCAGUGGGGAAUAUUGCACAAUGGGCGGAAGCCUGAUGCAGCGACGCCGCGUGAGGGAUGACGGCCUUCGGGUUGUAAACCUCUUUCAGUAGGGACGAAGCGUGAGUGACGGUACCUACAGAAGAAGCACCGGCCAACUACGUGCCAGCAGCCGCGGUAAUACGUAGGGUGCGAGCGUUGUCCGGAAUUACUGGGCGUAAAGGGCUCGUAGGCGGUUUGUCGCGUCGAUCGUGAAAACUCGGGGCUCAACCUCGAGCUUGCG
This 275-nucleotide ribosomal RNA is filed under the name uncultured bacterium. Its description in RNAcentral is "partial 16S ribosomal RNA". It matches the Rfam family "Bacterial small subunit ribosomal RNA", at positions 338 to 625 of the family's 1533-position model. The record is from RNAcentral.